RNAcentral lists this ribosomal RNA (301 nucleotides) under uncultured bacterium. RNAcentral's name for it is "partial 16S ribosomal RNA". It matches the Rfam family "Bacterial small subunit ribosomal RNA", at positions 509 to 807 of the family's 1533-position model. The record is from RNAcentral.
CAGCCGCCGCGGUAAUACGAAGGGGGCUAGCGUUGCUCGGAAUGACUGGGCGUAAAGGGCGCGUAGGCGGCGAUCAAAGUCAGGCGUGAAAUUCCUGGGCUCAACCUGGGGGCUGCGCUUGAUACUUGGUUGCUUGAGUGGGGAAGAGGGUCGUGGAAUUCCCAGUGUAGAGGUGAAAUUCGUAGAUAUUGGGAAGAACACCGGUGGCGAAGGCGGCGACCUGGUCCUUGACUGACGCUGAGGCGCGAAAGCGUGGGGAGCAAACAGGAUUAGAGACCCGCGUAGUCCCUGUCUCUUAUAC